Molecule: non-coding RNA, 222 nt
Filed under: Fictibacillus arsenicus
Lineage: Bacteria; Bacillati; Bacillota; Bacilli; Caryophanales; Fictibacillaceae
Description: T-box sequence
Rfam family: T-box leader
About the family: Uncharged tRNA acts as the effector for transcription antitermination of genes in the T-box leader family.
Source: RNAcentral
GAAAAAACGCAGAUGGAGAAGAGUAAAUAAUCAAUCCGCCAAAAAGGGAGGAAAUGUCCUGGACUGAAAGCAUUUCUUUGGUAGGUAUUAUUGAAUUCACUCCUGAGUUGCCACCUGAACAUUAUGAGUAGGGCUGGCCGGUGAAGAGCCGUUAUUUAAAUGAAGUGAACAGUGUAUUUUCAUUGUUAAAUUGGGUGGUACCGCGAACUCCUCGUCCCUUAU